GUGAACCUGCGGAAGGAUCAUUAAAGAGAUAGGGUCUUCAUGGCCCGACCUCCAACCCUCUGUUGUUAUAACUACCUUGUUGCUUUGGCGGGACCGUCUCGGUCUCCGAGCGCACUAACCCUCGGGUUGGUGAGCGCCCGCCAGAGUCCAACCAAACUCUUGUAUUAAACCAGUCGUCUGAGUAUAAAAUUUUAAUUAAAUUAAAACUUUCAACAACGGAUCUCUUGGUUCUCGCAUCGAUGAAGAACGCAGCGAAAUGCGAUAAGUAAUGUGAAUUGCAGAAUUCAGUGAAUCAUCGAAUCUUUGAACGCACAUUGCGCCCCUUGGUAUUCCGAGGGGCAUGCCUGUUCGAGCGUCAUUACACCACUCAAGCAUCGCUUGGUAUUGGGAACGGUCCGUCGAAAGGCGGGCCUUCCUCGAAGACCUCGGCGGGGUUCAACCAACUUCGGGCGUAGUAGAGUUAAAUCGAACGUCUUAUAAGCUUGGUCGGAUCUCAUUGCCGUUAAACCU
Molecule: ribosomal RNA, 510 nt
Filed under: Dothideomycetes sp. genotype 653 JMUR-2016
Lineage: Eukaryota; Fungi; Ascomycota; Dothideomycetes
Description: eukaryotic LSU rRNA
Rfam family: 5.8S ribosomal RNA (bases 205-358)
Source: RNAcentral